This 119-nucleotide small RNA is filed under the name Pongo abelii (Sumatran orangutan). Its description in RNAcentral is "processed transcript". Lineage: Eukaryota; Metazoa; Chordata; Mammalia; Primates; Hominidae. The record is from RNAcentral.
GGAAGAGUAGGCCAACGGAACUGUUCUGCCUCAUGUUCUGGGGAGGUCUUCUCCAUUUUGCCACACCUGUGGAUCCUCUAUUUCUCCUUCUCCACUACCUCAUAAAGGCUGAUAAGGAG